RNAcentral lists this ribosomal RNA (498 nucleotides) under uncultured Eubacteriales bacterium. RNAcentral describes it as "bacterial SSU rRNA". It matches the Rfam family "Bacterial small subunit ribosomal RNA", at positions 35 to 507 of the family's 1533-position model. Lineage: Bacteria; Bacillati; Bacillota; Clostridia; Eubacteriales. The record is from RNAcentral.
UUUACGAUCCUGGACUCAACGGAUUAAACGGCUGGCGGCGCACAUAAGACAUGCAAGUCGAACGAACGUUAACCUCUUGCUUAGCAAGAGGAGCGGUUAGUGGCGGACUGGUGAGUAACACGUAAGAAAUCUGCCUAUCAGAGGGGAAUAACAGUGAGAAAUCAUUGCUAAUACCGCAUAUGCCAUAAUUAUCGCAUGAUAAUAGUGGGAAAGGAGCAAUCCGCUGAUAGAUGAGCUUGCGUCUGAUUAGCUAGUUGGUGGGGUAAAAGCCUACCAAGGCGACGAUCAGUAGCCGGACUGAGAGGUUGAACGGCCACAUUGGGACUGAGAGUACGGCCCAGACUCCUACGGGAGGCAGCAGUCGGGAAUAUUGCGCAAUGGAGGAAACUCUGACGCAGUGACGCCGCGUAUAGGAAGAAGGGUUUUCGGAUUGUAAACUAUUGUCCACAGGGAAGAAAAAAGACUGUACCUGUGAAGAAAGCUCCGGCUAACUACGUG